This 29-nucleotide non-coding RNA is filed under the name Rattus norvegicus (Norway rat). Lineage: Eukaryota; Metazoa; Chordata; Mammalia; Rodentia; Muridae. The record is from RNAcentral.
UCAGCGUUCAUGUUUCAUGUGUGAGCCAG